RNAcentral lists this long non-coding RNA (1356 nucleotides) under Nicotiana tabacum (common tobacco). RNAcentral's name for it is "long non-coding RNA (NTAB_LNC015930)". The record is from RNAcentral. Lineage: Eukaryota; Viridiplantae; Streptophyta; Magnoliopsida; Solanales; Solanaceae.
GAAAUUUGAAAAAAAUUCCCGCUAAAUUGAGUGUGUUAGAUUACAAUCCAUGCAACAAAUUAAUAAAAGUGGAUUACAAAAAAUCUAAUUAAGUCAAAUCAAAGGUAAGAGAUCAUUGGCUAUUAAUUAAUAAGUAGUUAUAAGAUUUGCCAUUUAUUUUGCUAUAAAAACCCCUAUCCUAGAGCACUCUUCUUCGUACAAAUUGUUGAAUGUUUUACUUCAUAGAGAGGAUGAGCAGUGUUAUUCCAUAUCUGAGAUAAGUUAUUAAUAUGAUAUCAUAUCUUAUUAUUUCCAUGCUUAAAUACUGUGGUUUCUUUUUUCAUUUCCCUUAACCUUGAUUUCUUGACUUAGAUAUGAGUAAUUAAUUGUUUGAAAUCUUUAUUUUUCAGACUUCAAGCUAUGGCAAAGGAGGAGGAAGAUAACGAUGACGAUUUUGGGAUUUAUCUAAAUUGAAUUAAUGAGUCACCAAGUUUUUUGUAAUCACGGAAUCCACUUAGGAUUGAAUUUAAGGUAAAACAAUUAAUCUUAAGGCUGGUUAAUUCUCUCAUAUUCAAUCCUAAGCGGAUUUCCGUGAUAAAUAACUUGGUGACUUAAUAAUUUAAUUUAGAUUUUGAAAGAAGUGCGUUGAUCUAUAAUUGAUAAACUUCUAUGAGCAACAUCUGUCGUAUUAUUAUUCCUCUUAAUGGCUUGGCUGUAAUAUUAAUGUAGGGAAAAUAGAACUAGCUCGAUUACUUUUUUGCCCUUUGUUUUUAUGUAGUUGUUAGCCUAUUAUAAAAAAUCUUGUCACAGGGCAGCUAAUUUUGUCAAAGACGAUGAUUUUAUGUUAAAUGUCGAUGUAUUAUAUACAACACGAGGCACCUUCCUGUUCCUGAGAUUUCUUGGAAGGACGACGUAAGGCUAAGCAAUUGGUGUCCGUGUAGUUACUAUCCGACAACUGAGGUCCCCUCCGUAUGCUAGACGAGACUAUUCGUGUCGUACAGAAAACCAAUGUCAAGAACAAUUAAGAGAACAGAAAAAGAAUGAAAAUGAAAGAAAGUUUGAUUGUUAUUACACAAAGGCAAUAUAUGAGCAAAUUAAAGGAAACAUGUCUUUAGAAGAAGCUUUCUUCAUUUGUCCUUCUCGAAGAUAUAUCUGUACUUGUUUAUAAUAUAUCAUCAAUUACUUUAAAUUUUAAGGCAUACAAAGGAAAAAGGACUUUAAUAUAGUUCUUGAUUUGAGUUAGUUAUUCUUUCGUUCUUUUUUGUUAGUUUUGGUUCAAAUUAGCUUGUUUAUAAUAUAUCCCAACUUAUUCGGGUCUGAGACUUAGUUAUAUUCUUGUGUUGAUGGCUCUGCAUAGCUUUAUGAUUUGGGUACGAG